AUUGAACGCUGGCGGCAUGCUUUACACAUGCAAGUCGGACGGCAGCGGGGUAGUGCUUGCACUACUGCCGGCGAGUGGCGGACGGGUGAGUAAUAUAUUGGAACGUACCGAGUAAUGGGGGAUAACCAAUCGAAAGAUUGGCUAAUACCGCAUACGCUCUGAUGCGGAAAGCAGGGGACCUUCGGGCCUUGCGUUAUUCGGGCGGCCAAGAUCGGAGUAGCUAGUUGGUGGGGUAAGGGCCUACCAAGGCGGCGAUCAGGAGCGGGUCUGAGAGGCUGAUCGGCCACAUUGGGACUGAGACACGGACCAGACGACUACGGGAGGCAGCAGUGGCGAAUGUUGGACAAUGGGCGCAAGCAUGACACAGCCAUGGCGAGUGUGUGAAGAAGGCCUUCGGGUUGUAAAGGACUUUUGUUAGGGAAGAAAAAGGAGCGGUUAAUACCAGUCUUUGCUGACGGUACCUAAAGAAUAAGCACCGGCUAACUACGUG
This 490-nucleotide ribosomal RNA is filed under the name uncultured bacterium. RNAcentral describes it as "partial 16S ribosomal RNA". It matches the Rfam family "Bacterial small subunit ribosomal RNA", at positions 30 to 507 of the family's 1533-position model. The record is from RNAcentral.